UACGUAGGUGGCAAGCGUUGUCCGGAUUUACUGGGCGUAAAGAGCGCGCAGGCGGUCGUUCAAGUCGCGUGUGAAAGCCCCCGGCUCAACUGGGGAGGGUCACGCGAUACUGAUCGACUCGAAGGCAGGAGAGGGUAGUGGAAUUCCCGGUGUAGUGGUGAAAUGCGUAGAUAUCGGGAGGAACACCAGUGGCGAAGGCGACUACCUGGCCUGUUCUUGACGCUGAGGCGCGAAAGCCAGGGGAGCAAACGGG
Molecule: ribosomal RNA, 253 nt
Filed under: uncultured bacterium
Lineage: Bacteria
Description: partial 16S ribosomal RNA
Rfam family: Bacterial small subunit ribosomal RNA
Source: RNAcentral